This 73-nucleotide transfer RNA is filed under the name Myotis lucifugus (little brown bat). It matches the Rfam family "tRNA". Rfam says of the family: Transfer RNA (tRNA) molecules are approximately 80 nucleotides in length. Their secondary structure includes four short double-helical elements and three loops (D, anti-codon, and T loops). Lineage: Eukaryota; Metazoa; Chordata; Mammalia; Chiroptera; Vespertilionidae. The record is from Rfam by way of RNAcentral.
GCUGGUUUGGCUUAGUGGUUAGAGCAUCAGCCUGCAGACUGAAAGGUCCCGGGUUCAAUUCCGGCAAAGGGCA